GGAGAAGUGUCCGAGCGGUUUAAGGAGGCGGUCUUGAAAACCGUUGACGUGAAAGCGUCCGUGGGUUCGAAUCCCACCUUCUCCG
RNAcentral lists this transfer RNA (85 nucleotides) under Entomospira nematocerorum. It matches the Rfam family "tRNA". Rfam says of the family: Transfer RNA (tRNA) molecules are approximately 80 nucleotides in length. Their secondary structure includes four short double-helical elements and three loops (D, anti-codon, and T loops). The record is from Rfam by way of RNAcentral. RNAcentral also lists the same sequence under 1 other name. Lineage: Bacteria; Pseudomonadati; Spirochaetota; Spirochaetia; Spirochaetales; Spirochaetaceae.